CAGCGCCGCGGUAAUACGGAGGGUGCAAGCGUUAAUCGGAAUUACUGGGCGUAAAGCGCACGCAGGCGGUCUGACAAGUCAGAUGUGAAAUCCCCGGGCUUAACCUGGGAACUGCAUUUGAAACUGUCAGGCUGGAGUCUUGUAGAGGGGGGUGGAAUUCCAGGUGUAGCGGUGAAAUGCGUAGAGAUCUGGAGGAAUACCGGUGGCGAAGGCGGCCCCCUGGACAAGACUGACGCUCAGGUGCGAAAGCGUGGGGAGCAAACAGGAUUAGAUACCCCUGUAGUCCCUGUCUCUUAUACAC
This 301-nucleotide ribosomal RNA is filed under the name uncultured bacterium. Its description in RNAcentral is "partial 16S ribosomal RNA". It matches the Rfam family "Bacterial small subunit ribosomal RNA", at positions 509 to 809 of the family's 1533-position model. The record is from RNAcentral.